AGGCACAUGAAUGUCAGAGCAGAAACUGAGGUCACGUGGGAGAGACACAGGCACACAAAUGAAGGAUCAGUCCCUGCAGUCACCUGAGCAGGGUUGCAGCAUAUAAUGGAACCCUUACCUGGACAGACACCAACCCCUGGGCAAUCGAAUCAGUCUCCCUGAGAUCUUCUCUGCUGUGUGUCCUUGAAGAGCCAGCUUCAUUGACAAACUGAACUUUAUGGGCCCAAGGACUGAGUGCAUCUUCCUCUUGGUAGUAAUGGUUGAGUUAAUGUGUAAAGUCAAUAAAUGGCUGUUUUAUUCACUUGUUACUA
Molecule: long non-coding RNA, 311 nt
Organism: Grammomys surdaster
Lineage: Eukaryota; Metazoa; Chordata; Mammalia; Rodentia; Muridae
Exons: 2
Source: RefSeq, a predicted model, not a curated record